UGCGCAGGUGGCCAGGUGUGUGAGGCGUGAAAGCCCGGGGCUCAACCCCGGAAUUGCACCUCAAACUACAUGGCUAGAGCAUUGGAGAGGGGAGCAGAAUUCACGGUGUAGCAGUGAAAUGCGUAGAUAUCGUGAGGAAUACCAGAGGCGAAGGCGGCUCCCUGGACAAUUGCUGACACUCAGGCACGAAAGCGUGGGGAGCAAAAGGGAUUAGAUACCCCUGUAGUCCACGCCCUAAACGGUGCACACUAGGUCUUGGCGGAUUCGACCCCCCCAGGGCCCGAACGCUAACGCGUUAAGUGUGCCGCCUGAGGACUACGGCCGCAAGGCUAAA
Molecule: ribosomal RNA, 334 nt
Filed under: uncultured bacterium
Lineage: Bacteria
Description: bacterial SSU rRNA
Rfam family: Bacterial small subunit ribosomal RNA
Source: RNAcentral